Molecule: ribosomal RNA, 510 nt
Filed under: uncultured bacterium
Lineage: Bacteria
Description: partial 16S ribosomal RNA
Rfam family: Bacterial small subunit ribosomal RNA
Source: RNAcentral
GACGAACGCUGGCGGCGUGCUUAACACAUGCAAGUCGAACGAAGAGCGAUGGAAGCUUGCUUCUAUCAAUCUUAGUGGCGAACGGGUGAGUAACGCGUAAUCAACCUGCCCUUCAGAGGGGGACAACAGUUGGAAACGACUGCUAAUACCGCAUACGAUCUAAACUCGGCAUCGAGGAUAGAUGAAAGGUGGCCUCUACAUUUAAGCUAUCAACGAAGGAGGGGAUUGCGUCUGAUUAGCUAGUUGGAGGGGUAAAGGCCCACCAAGGGGAUGAUCAGUAGGCGGUCUGAGAGGAUGAACGGCCACAUUGGGAAUGAGAAACGGCCCAGACUCCUACGGGAGGCAGCAGUGGGGAAUCUUCCGCAAUGGACGAAAGUCUGACGGAGCAACGCCGCGUGAGUGAUGACGGCCUUCGGGUUGUAAAGCUCUGUUAAUAGGGACGAAAGGCCUUCUUGCGAAUAGUGAGAAGGAUUGACGGUACCGGAAUAGAAAGCCACGGCUAACUACGUG